UCAUGUUACGAUUUUUCUCGG
RNAcentral lists this non-coding RNA (21 nucleotides) under Caenorhabditis elegans. The record is from RNAcentral. Lineage: Eukaryota; Metazoa; Nematoda; Chromadorea; Rhabditida; Rhabditidae.